Lepus europaeus (European hare) is the source of this 851-nucleotide long non-coding RNA. RefSeq lists it as uncharacterized. Lineage: Eukaryota; Metazoa; Chordata; Mammalia; Lagomorpha; Leporidae. The transcript is spliced from 3 exons. The record is from RefSeq and is a predicted model, not a curated record.
GGCUGGACUGUGUGGUCGAGGGUUGUCAUACAACUCCUCUGGACCCCAGCGUUCUCCGGAUACUGGCCAUUGUGAUCCUCGUCUUACUGGUCGUGAGCAUUCAUCCAGUGGGUAGGUGCCCGUGAGCGGGGCUGCAGCCUCUGCCUGCCGCACGCCAGCUGACUUGGCUGCGGCAGGGUCUGGCAGCUCCCGCCAGGAGCCCUCCCGCGAGUCAAAGGUUUGUUGUCAUUUUCCCAAACUGCACAACGUGGAGACAGCUGUCUUGUUGGAACCUGGGUGCCUGGGCCCUGGGAGAAGUAGGUGAAAGGUCCUGGCGAGACACAGGCAGAUCUGUCUCAAGUCCUGGCUGGUGUCACUUCUGGGGGAAGACUGGAUGUCGACUGGACUUCCGGUGUGGUGUUGAUGGGAGUGGUGAAGAAUCUUGCUUUGCCUUGUGUUGGAUCUAGAGGGAAGAGCUUCAUUCUUCCACCAUAAAAAUGACCAUUCUUAUUGGACGUUUGUACGUGACCUUUACCAGGUUAAGGCAAUUUCCUGUUGCUCGCAGUCGGCUGAGAGUUGUUACCGUGAGUGGAUGUUGAAUUUUGUCAAAUGUGUAUUCUGCGUCUAUUCAGCAACCACAUGGUCUUCUUCUUCAAGCUGUUAGUACUGUGGGACACGUUGAUCGAUUUUCAAUUUGUGAACCAACCAAGAAUUCCUGGAAUAAACCUCUGUUGCUCGUGCCAUGGUUAAGUAAGGGUGACUUGCACACAGGUGCUGUGGUACCACAACUGAACUGACAAGCAACGUGACCCAGUGGCUAGUGGGCAGGCACACGUCCAGCAGGGGAGAAGCCAGACGAAGGGACGGAUCGU